UAGUGGGGAGAUCGGCGGAGUCGGCGGCCNACCGCCGAACGGACAGAGCCUCCCCUGUACGUUCUAGGCGUCACAAUCUAUACAAUGCGAUACAAGAGGUUCCAAACAGGAACUGUAUUCAACCACAGAUUGCAUAGUAUCAAAAACAUAAAAUGCUAACUACGCUAUUACAAGCAUUCAACUCACAGAUUCUUUAGACAUUUACAAUAGUUUACAUUUACAUAACCAAAUGUGCCUUUAAGUUAUUACAAACUUAUACAAAUUACUACAAAUUUGUUUCUUUCCAAUUGGAACUCUGAGCUGGACCUCUUCAGGGUACUUCUAUCACUGGUCUCGGUGGUAGGGCGCUAUCUACGGAGCUACGCCCUGUCCUCGCGCCGCUGCGCCGCUCACGUGUAACCUGUACCCCCAAAACAACACGGGGGUGAGAACUAUAUAAAUAUAGUUCCCAGUGGGUACGGCCACCCAAGGGAAAAGCUCGACCCACCAGGUCCAAAGGAGGCAACAGUAGGUUAGUUCAACAAAUAGAUAGAUAGAUAUUUGACUAAGCAAUAAAUAAAACCAUACCUUGCCUCGCUGCUAUGCAAUAUGCAAUACCUGUCAAUCAUGUAAGUAGAUUACUUGAUUCUACUUUAUAUCUUUAACCAUUCUUUACUUAUAGCCGUUCUUUUAUUUCUUAGCUAUUCUCGUUCAUUAGCUAAUUUCAUUAUCGUUCAUGUUUUGCUCUUUAUUCUUUGUACUUGUACUUGGUGUUCUACACCUUAAACUUGGGCCCACUAUAUUCAUUGGCAAAUUCUUACUUAAGGUUGCUCUUACCUUAAUCUCACUAUGCCACCCGACUCGGUCUUGAGUCAAUCGAUCGCGGAUAGUCCGCACACUGUCUAGCUCGAGUUGAAGGAAUUCUCACAUGCACCUCAGCUGGCGACAGCUCACCGUACUCAUGUUCUAGCUGUCUGGCGGCGAACGAGUCGCACCUCACCCAACAACAGCCUAGGUCAAUGACUUAGCCACCUGGUGGCGAAAUCGUCGCACACGCCACGACAGUGGUUCAGUCAACAGGCGGUAGGAUCCACAAGCUGGCUUAACCAUCUGGCGGCGAAAUCGUCGCACACGCCGAACAAUGGUUCAAGCCUCCGGGUGGUGGACACUGCGCACACACCCAAUCCUGCCUUGGUAUCAAUCUCGGCGGCAAAAUCGUCGCACACGCCCUAGCCUUGAUACCAAGGUUAUAAUAGAUCUUGGGAUUCCGGAAUCCAUUUCCACAACUUGAGGGUUUACUCACUUUACCCUAUGUUGACGACCCUCCUAGGUUGAUACCAAUCCUUUCCUAGUGGUCGCUAUACCACUAAUAUUCCCAACUUAGUUCAAAUGUACUAAGUCUUACUAUACAUCAUAACCUAGGUUCACUUGCUAGGUUCUAUGUCAUUUUCACCUAGAACUCGACUCUAGGUUUAAUUACUCGACCUAUGUCCAAUGACACUAGGUUUAUGUCAGACCUAUGUUUACUAACACUAGGUCAUGCCACUCGAUCUAUAUAUCAUCCUAGGUACUCUUGCCUAGGUUCAUAGUUUACAUAUUCUCAAUUACUUAUCAACAUCAAAGUUCUUUUAUCAACUAGAAUUAUCGACAUUCAUAUAGUUUAAACUAUAAUACAUUCAUAUGCAUCUAGCAUUCAUAUUCAUAUGCAUGUAGCAUUCAUAUUUAUCUGAUAACUAUCAUAUGUCAACAAUCAUAAUAUGUCAACCACCAUAUAUGCCUAUUCAUUCAUACGCAUCAAGCAUUUAUAUUCAUAUAUCGACAACUAUAUUCAUAUAUGCAUCAAAUGAAACCAUACUUUACUUUGACAUGGGAAGCGACCUAAUCGCUUCGGUAAGCACAACCCACCUUUACUUGAUACCGGAACGUGAGAAAUUCACUUCCCGCACUUUCCAAGAAUCGCGAUUUCGCGCUCGUGACAAUUGAUGCCGAAACCGUCCUUUUGGUGAUAUCUUCGCGUAGGCUCGACGAAUUGCCGAACCGACUUCGCCAACGUGUUCGUUUUACCCUCAAUUAGGUUUGUACGCGAUCAAUUCCAAGUUAGGGUCUCAAUCCUGCAAAAGUGCAUUAUCGAGCUUAGGUUCAAUACACUAACUCUCUAAUUAAUACAUCCUGUUUCUAUACAGGUUCUAUAAGAACCUAUACUACAACUCUAACUACUUAAGAGCUUCAACCAAUUACUCAGGAAUAUUAGAGCUUACCUCCUGUUAUAUGUCAUUCCUAAAGCUACCAAUCAGCCCGAAGGUUCACAUGUUAUACUUCUAACAUGCAGCUUUUCGACUAAACUUCAUGGCAGCAUAAGCUCCAUCAUUGAAAGGCUUUAGAGUCUGAGAGCUCUAUCUACUACUCCACAAUCAUUCCUUUAACGACCAGGAAUUAAAAUUCACUUACCCAACAACCAAUUCACAUGUAUAUUUACAUACAUGCAUGCUGUCCACACUCAACUCUUUAGGAUUCUCCAAGGUAAACAUGCUUUAGUAAGCAAGAAACCUGAGCCACAUCCAAUUCGGGGUGAUUAGAACUAGCCCUAACAUAAAACAUAACCAAUCUUAUCAUAGGGCUACAACAAUUACUCAUAGGUACAUACAUGCAUACUCACACACAUAUGCUGCCAGCAUAAUUCUCAACACCUUUUCUCAACUUUCUUAUGACAAUAGAGGUUCUAACAACCUAGAAACCAAUUAAAAUCAGAUCUAGGGUAUAUACUAUCAUCUCUAAUAAAAAGAUAUCAAUCAUUUACCUCCGAUUUUCCUCGCUUCCUCAAGUUCUUCUGCUGCUGAAAUUCUUUGCAGCACAAAGCUUGAAUCCACCAAGAAAUCCCCUCCACAUAGCUCUCUUGAGAGAGGAGAAGAAAGGAAUAAGAAAAAGAAGAGGAAAGCUAGCUUCCUUUUUAUCCUCAAGCUUCCUCGCAGCCAAGCUUCCUCGCAGCCAACAACCUCGACUCCGCACGUUCUCCUCAGAUCAAACCAUCAAGAACCCAACCUCUUCCUCAAGAAUCUGCCCAAGAAGCCCUCUCGUACGGUUUAGAGGUUUAGAGAGAGAGAGAAAAGGAAAGAAAAUGGAAAAGAAUAAAGAGAAAAUGGAGAGAGAUGGCCUAAUACGUUUCUAAGUGCUGGGGUUAAAUGAUAAGACCAAAAAAUUGCAAUUUAACCCUUCACAAAGGCAAAAGUGCAUUGUAAUCCUGCAGUUUACAAAACAGUCCCUGCACUUUCGCAAUUCAGUCCCUGCAGGUUCGCAGUUCAGUCCCUGCACUAACAACAGGCUGGCAGCAGCAAUUUGAAGCCUUUUUGCGCGUUGAACUCGUUCCGAAACCUCUUAAACUCUUCCAUUGGAUGCCCAUGAACCUCUACAAGCUACCAAUUUAAUCCAAGAACAAUUCACUUUCAUUUUGGCAUCAUUGUGAUCAAGGUGAGCAAGAUUUGCAACACAAUCAAGCUCCAAUACUUUGCAUAGCAGCAGCACAAUUGGAGGCCUUUUUUUUUUUUUCACUUCCAUCUUGCUCCAAACCCCUCUAAAUACUUUCUAAACUCAUAUUUAACUUUCCCCACACUUUCAAAUUAACUCGGGGACAUCACACAUUAUCCUCUAGCCUCACUUUGAUCUAUUUAAUCAAAGUUAGCGUCGCAAUCCAAAAAUUCCUCUCUCUACAGGUGUCAGAAAAAUCUGAAACUUCAAAUCUAGCCUCAUAAAACUGUUCCUGACAUCUCUGCCAAUUUUUAUAAUUUUCUGACAUUGUGCAUUUUCUGCUAAUUUUCUCGGUCCCGUUCUUUACAGAAAAUUCUAAAUUUUCCGUUUUCACUCCGAUUUCAUCCAAACACUUCCAAAAUAUACCAAGGGACCUUCACAAGCUACCCAUGUAAUUUGGAAGCAAUUCCUUUUCAUUUUGACAUUAUUUGAGCCGAAUUAGCAAUAGAAUCGGCUCCAAUUUCAUUACAUGGUAGCGAUUUCUCCUUUUUACACUACCACUUCGCACUGAGCUCGUCAAAACCCUUUGAAAACACACCCUUGGCUUUUCCAAAACUUCACAAUUGAUUCGGAGAUACCACAAUGUAUCCUUCCGCCUUACUUUAAUUCUUUUAAUCAAAUUUAGCGUCGGAAAUCUGAAAUUCUCUUUAUAUUUCGUUUCGCGCCCAAUUUGCGCCGAAACACUUAUUUAUCUCCAGAAAUCACAAUUCACUCGAGGAUGAUGUCCAACUAGUUCAAUCCUCACUUUGAUCCCUUAGGGCAAAGUUGACAUCGCAACUCCAAGUUUCCAUAUGUUACAGAGUCACUCCACCGUUUCACGUUUACUACGAGUCCCAUUCUUCGUCCAAGAACCAUCGCUAGCGAUUUGCUAGUACUACUUGGCUUUCUACUUGCUCCAGCAGGCGUUACACUCUUACGAUGCAAGCAUACUCGGGUGCCUACCUACCCGACCGCCCGGUCCCUACUAUGCGAUUUGUAAUUAGUAGGUGCUGAUCAUAUGCUAAAUGCAUGCAAUGCAUCAAUUUGAGACUACGCAAAAGCAUAUGCUUAUGUAAUUAACUCAUACCUGCAACGGCAUCAUCAAUGGCAGCAGGUUCAUCAACCUGGGUCGCAUAUCCCUGGCCACUUGGUGCUCGCCGCGAACCCUCCGGUUGCAUCGUCCUCAACGGCCACUCCCCCGACCAUGCCGCAGGUGGCACACCUGCAGGCUGUCCCAGAGAGGAAUGGGCCGUCGCUGGCCUCAAGGCCUGACUCUCACCUCGCGGGCACUCGUCCCGCAUAUGGCCUGGCUGUCCACAACGAAUACACCGUCCAUCACGCAGCGCACACCGCCGCGCCUGGUGGGAACCGCCACAAAUCACAUAUCCGGAGGAGGAUCGGGUAGAGGAUGACCUCGAGCGGUAUCUGGAACUCGACUGACCACCCGAACCACUCGAUAAUGGCCUCGCCCCUCCUCGCUCAUGCCUACGAGAUUCGCGCUCCUCACGCACGAAAGCCUCGCCAUGCUCUGCCCACAAUGCUCGGUCCAACACCUUCGCAAAGGUUGUGAGCUGGAAGAUUUGCACCCUCCUAUAAAUCUCCGGUCGAAGUCCACGCAGGAACCAAUCGGCCUUAUCCUUGUCAUCCCGUACCACAUCCGGGACACAAUUCACGAUACGGGAGAAUUCCCGUUCGUAUUCCCUCACAGAGCGGUCUCCUUGCCGCAGCUUCCUGAACUUGUCCCGAAGCUUUCUCCUCUCCGUGUCGGGGAAGUACGUAGAAAACAUUAAUCCCCGAAAUUCAUCCCACGCCAUAGGAGGAAGACUAGGCGAUCGAUCCCGUCGAAUGCCUUUCCACCACGCCUUUGCUGAUUGCUUCAAGCAAUGCACAGCUAGGGGCACCUUGUCCCGCUCCAAGGUGUAUAGCUCCUCGAAGAGCGUUUCCAUGGAGUCAAUCCACAUCUCCACGAUCCACGGGUCGACAUUCUCUCCAUCGAAAGUAGGCGGAUCAAAUUUCUUGAAAGUCAGUAGGGCCGCCAAAGUCCGUUCUUUCUCCGCCUCUAAUUCCAUAGAACCAGGGGCCACCGCCCCCGAAUCCAUCGCGACUCCUGCCGGUACACGGCACGCUGCUACCGGCGCAGCCGCCGCAGGCUGUCGUGUCAACAAUUCAUGGAGCUCCUUGAUUUGCUCCCCCUGUCGCUGCACUAUGCCCAUGAGCGUAUUCACUUGCUCGCGGAGCAUCGGGUCUCCGCUCGCCUCAGCUUGCUCAGGAACACCGCUUGUCCCUUCCCGCGCCGAUCUGGAUGAGGAUCGCCUUCGCGGUGCCAUCGCUUCCUGAAACACGACAACUCGAUUAGUUCUCGACCAACUUGGGUCGAACACGAGACCACAAACAACGGCUCAAAAGCCAAUCAGGCGAAAGUCACGCGAGGGCAUCUAUUCUCAUCACUAGGUUUCAUGUUGUCGUACGCCAACAUGAACAUCCUCGGCUGAGAAUAAACCACACCUCAAGUCUACUUCUAAUAUCCGUCUUAGAGGUUUACGACACAACCCAAUCCAUUAAUCUUUCGCCACAAAUCAUAGGUCCUCGUCUCUCACGAGCCUUAUUCUCCUAUGGUUUACUAUCCUAGGUCUCCUAGGUCCGGCUAAACCAUUUUCUUUUCCCAUUUUCUACUUUAUGCUCUGAUACCACUUUAUCUGUCAUGCCCCGAGACCGCUCCCAAUUUGGUCCGGUUCGGGCACGCCGACAGACCGCCGAACGGACCAGGGUUUCCCCUGUACGCGGACAGAGUCUCCCCUGUACGUUCUAGGCGUCGCAAUCCAAACAAUGUACCUCACAAUGGUUCCAACCAGGAACAGAUAUUCAAUCAUAGAUUGCAAAUGGAAAGGUAUCAAUCAACAUAAACACAUCCUAUGAUAUUACAUCCAUUCAUUUUACAUCACAAUUCCAUUACAUUCAACUUCCAAUACAAUUAAGUUAUUACAACAUUUAUUGAUUAUAUUUGCUUGCUUUCAUUUUCUAUACCCCUAAGCUACGUUGACGGGGUACUGCUAGCUCUGGUCUCUGGGGGUAGGGCGCUAUCUAUGGAGCUACGCCCUUGCCUCGCGCCGCCGCGCCGCUAACGUGCGAACCUGUAAAACCCCAAAACAACGUGGGGUGAGAACCAACUCCAUGGUUCCCAGUGAGUACGGUCACCCAAGGGAGGAGCUCGACCGACAGGUCCAAGGGAGGCAAAUACAAGUUAGUCCAAUAAACAGAUAGAUAUGUAUAUCAUAAACAUGCAACUAACUUUACCUUGCUUUGCCUCACAACUGCAAUGAUGUCAUAAUAUGCAACAGGAAUAUAUGCAACAACUAGUAGAAUUACUGAUUCUACAAUCAAUCUCGCUAAUCUUAGCUCAUGUCAUCCAACUCUAAGGUUUCUACUACCUUAGGUUUAUCACAUUUACCAUUAGCCCUCAAGGUUCUAUCUACCUUAUUCCAGCUAGCCACCCGACUCAGCCUCGAGUCAAUCAAUAGCGGAUAAUCCGCGCUCUGCCCGGCUCGAGGUGAAGGAUCCUGUCGCAUGCACCUCAGCCUGCAAGCCAAGAACCACAUCGCCCAACGGUCCGCCCGAAGGUCCGUGCACCGUGGUCAGGGAUCCGCUAGUGGGAGAGGAAACAUAGCCGCGUACACCCAUAGCCAAGAUCCCCGAUAGGGAGAGGAACAUGCCGUGCACCCUAGCGCUCUUUGUUCUUGCUUAGUCAUAAUCCCCAAAGUUCUUUCCGGUGGGAGAGGAACAUCGCCACAUACACCCGCGGUCCAAGAACUAUUGAGUUCACAAGUACUAGGAUUCCGGAAUCGACUUCACAAGUCAAGGGUCCAUAUCCAACCCUAUACUAUUGACCUAUCUAGGUCCAAUGCACUUUCCACCCUAGGUCCAACCGACUCUAGGUCUAAUGCCUCAACUUCACAACCUAGGUUUACCUUAACUCUAAGUUCAGUUCUCAACCUAUGUUCUUUAACACUAGGUUAGAUGCCACACACCUAGAUCCCGACUCUAGGUUCAUACUCAACCUAUGUUCUUUAACACUAGGUUAGAUGCCACUCGUUGUUUAUCCUAGGUUCAACAACACUAGGUUCAAUGUCAUCUAUGUUCGACCUAUGUUUAUUAACACUAGGUUAAUGCCACUCGAUCUACCUGAUAUCCUAUUUGUCAUAUAGAGUACUAUAGAUAUCCACAUUUCAUCUCGCAUACAUUUUAUGAUGCCAAUAUGCAUUUACUAUCUAGCAUGAACUCAUAAUGCUAAGUGCAACUAGCAUAUAUUCCAAAUACACACAUACAUAUCAUUUUACAUGGAUCUACUUAGCAUUUGCAUCAUAUUAUUAACAUGCAUUAUUUACAUUUAUAUGCAUCAUCUAUAUGCCUCAUUUACAUUCAUAUGCAUCAACGUGGAUUCUUAAUCAUCUUAGACAUAAAGGGCGACCUAGUCGCUUCGGUAAACACAACCCACCUUAACUUACUCUCCGAUUGCUCGUAGUCACUUGCAAUCGGCCGCCCGCGGCACUCGGCACCCGUUUGGGCCCGAUCUCACAGUUGCUCUCCAAGAGCGCGUCGCUUCGCCGUUUCAAGUCCUAACGAUCUUCGCCUCGCCGUUACGAUGCUCGGGACCCAAUUUCACGAUUUAUGGAUGUCGCCUCGGCCCUCCAGGCGGAAACGAAGCUCCAAGCAUCCGUUUCUUCAAUAUCUUUGUAACGGCUCGUCGGAUUGUCGAACCGUCUUCGCCAACGUGUUUCGUUACCUAUCAAUUAGGUUUACAGAGGGUUAUUUGAGAUCAAACCCAUCUAUUUACAAAAAUUCCAUUUUUGAGCCCUAGUUUGCGACUACGGCAAAAUACCCCAAAUCGAUCUCCGAUUCAUGCAAUAGACAUCUAUCUAGCAUCAAAGGAGCCCACUAAUUUCACUUCUAGAGCAGAACCAAAUCCGAAACAAUGUUAGACUACUCAGUUGAGCCCUAACAGUAUUAUUUUGCAACUAGUACUUUUUAUCAUUCUAUCGAACAAAGAGUAAAACCUAAUUAAAUUGUUCUAUUAUGCCCCGAGAGUGUAAAUUUAGAACGAAUCGCUGUCAACGUUCACAGGAACAAAAACCGGAACAACAUGAGAGUACUGAGUUGCGCCAUAAUAGUAUAACAUUGCAACGAGUACUUUUUCUCAUUCUAUCGAAUAAGGAGUAAAAGUUUUCUAUUAUGCCCCGAGAGAGUAAAUUUAGAACGAAAUGACGUCAACGUUCACAAGAACCAAAACCGAAACAACGUUAGACUACUCAGUUGAGCCCACAUAUUAUAAUUUUGCAACUAGUACGUUUUCUCAUUCAAUCGAUCAUAGAGCAAAACCUAAUUAUAUUGUUCUAUUUUGCCCCGAGAGUGUAAAUUUGAAACGAAUCGUUGUCAACGUUCACAAGAAUCAAAACCUGAACAACGUUAGUCUACUCAGUGGAGCCCUAACGGUAUAACAUUGCAACUAGUACUUUUUCUCAUUCAAUCGAACAAAGAGUAAAACCUAAUUAUAUUGUUCUAUUAUGGCCCAAGAGUGUAAAUUUGGAACGAAUCGAUGUCAACUUUCGCAAGACCAAAAGCGGAACAACAUUAGACAACUCAGUUUCGACCUAACAGUAUAACGUUGCAACAAGUAGUUUUUCUCAUUCUAUCGAACAAAGAGUAAAACCUAAUUAAAUUGUUCUAUUAUACCCCGAGAGUGUAAAUUUGGAACGAAUCGAUGUCAAUAUUCCCAAGAACCAAAACCGGAACAACAUUAGACUACUCAGUUGCUCCAUGACAGUAUAACUUUGCAACGAGUACUUUUUCUCAUUCUAUCAUACAAGGAGUAAAAGCUCUCUAUUAUGCCCCGAGAGUGUAAAUUUGGAAGGAAUCGAUGUCAACGUACACAAGAACCAAAACAGGAACGAGGUUAGACUUCUCAGUUGAGCCCUAACUGUAUAACUUUGCAACUAAGGAUUUGGCUUAAUCCUUAGCUUUAAGAGUUCUAGUAGCCUCUAAUAGUCAUUUGUAGCAUAUUGCUCCAAUUAAUUCGGAGUAUUUGGAGGUUAUUUCAUGUUAAGGCUCCAAAAUACUAAUUUUGAAAAUAUGAGGGUUUGAUCUAAUUUGACCCUCCAUAAACCUAAUUGAUAGGUCACUGAACGCGUUGGAAGCGACGGUUCGGCGAUUCGUCGAGCCGGUGCAAAGUUAUUAAAGAAACGGACGUUUAGGCUUCAUUUCCGCCUGGAGGGCCGAGGCGACGUCGUAAAAUCCUGGAAACGGAUUUGAAGCAUCGUAAUAGGAAACCGAAGACCUUUAAUUUUCGGAUCGCGGAUCAGAGGUCGUUUGGUGGUCGCGCGCGGAUUGGGUCAAGCCGAGCGGCGUGUGCCGCGUGAGGCCGAUUGCAAGUGACGACGAGCAAUCGGAACGCGAUAAAAGGUGGGUGGUGUCCAUCCCGAAUCAAUCGGGCUCCCUUUUAUGUCUAAGUUUUAUAUUGAUCAAAUUGCAUAUUGACAUCUUGCAUUAUAGGGUGAUAAAUGAUGGUUUGGUCCUAUACCUUGCAUGUUCUUUGGUAGAAUAAUGUAUUUGGCUUCAUACUUAUAUAUAUAGCAUGCUUGAGGUUUAUAUAUGUGAUGUGGAACCCUAUAAUGAGAUGAGAGUGUGGAUGAGAAUUUAGCUAAUGCAUUGGCUAUUCAUUGGAAACUUGUA
RNAcentral lists this long non-coding RNA (10203 nucleotides) under Ananas comosus (pineapple). RNAcentral describes it as "long non-coding RNA (ACOM_LNC038776)". Lineage: Eukaryota; Viridiplantae; Streptophyta; Magnoliopsida; Poales; Bromeliaceae. The record is from RNAcentral.